CCUACGGGGGGCAGCAGUGAGGAAUAUUGGUCAAUGGGCUUACGCCUGAACCAGCCAAGUCGCGUGAGGGAAGACUGCCCUAUGGGUUGUAAACCUCUUUUGUCAGGGAGCAAUUGGCGCUACGUGUAGCGUUAUCGAGAGUACCUGAAGAAAAAGCAUCGGCUAACUCCGUGCCAGCAGCCGCGGUAAUACGGAGGAUGUGAGCGUUAUCCGGAUUUAUUGGGUUUAAAGGGUGCGUAGGCGGUCCGUUAAGUCAGCGGUAAAAUUGCGGGGCUCAACCCCGUCGAGCCGUUGAAACUGGCAGACUUGAGUUGGCGAGAAGUACGCGGAAUGCGCGGUGUAGCGGUGAAAUGCAUAGAUAUCGCGCAGAACUCCGAUUGCGAAGGCAGCGUACCGGCGCCAGACUGACGCUGAGGCACGAAAGCGUGGGGAUCGAACAGGAUUAGAUACCCUGGUAGUC
This 460-nucleotide ribosomal RNA is filed under the name uncultured bacterium. RNAcentral describes it as "partial 16S ribosomal RNA". It matches the Rfam family "Bacterial small subunit ribosomal RNA", at positions 338 to 795 of the family's 1533-position model. The record is from RNAcentral.